GGGCCCGCACAAGCGGUGGAGCAUGUGGUUUAAUUCGACGCAACGCGAAGAACCUUACCUAGAUUUGACAUCUGGGGAAUCUGCUGGAAACAGUGGAGUGCCUUUCGGGGAGCCCCAAGACAGGUGCUGCAUGGCUGUCGUCAGCUCGUGCCGUGAGGUGUUGGAUUAAGUUCCGCAACGAGCGCAACCCUUAUCCUUAUUUGCCAUCAUUCAGUUGGGAACUAUAAGGAAACUGCCAGUUUAUAACUGGAGGAAGGUGGGGAUGACGUCAAGUCAGCAUGGCCUUUAUAUCUAGGGCUACACACGUGCUACAAUGGCCGGUACAGCGGGUUGCAACACCGCGAGGUGAAGCGAAUCCCUUAAAGCCGGCCCCAGUUCGGAUUGGAGUCUGCAAUUCGACUCCAUGAAGUUGGAAUCGCUAGUAACCGCGGAUCAGCACGCCGCGGUGAAUACGUUCUCGGGCCUU
RNAcentral lists this ribosomal RNA (466 nucleotides) under uncultured bacterium. RNAcentral's name for it is "bacterial SSU rRNA". It matches the Rfam family "Bacterial small subunit ribosomal RNA", at positions 917 to 1382 of the family's 1533-position model. The record is from RNAcentral.